Molecule: ribosomal RNA, 495 nt
Filed under: uncultured bacterium
Lineage: Bacteria
Description: partial 16S ribosomal RNA
Rfam family: Bacterial small subunit ribosomal RNA
Source: RNAcentral
GACGAACGCUGGCGGCGUGCCUAAUACAUGCAAGUAGAACGCUGAAGGAGGAGCUUGCUCUUCUGGAUGAGUUGCGAACGGGUGAGUAACGCGUAGGUAACCUGCCUGGUAGCGGGGGAUAACUAUUGGAAACGAUAGCUAAUACCGCAUAACAGUAGAUGUUGCAUGACAUUUGCUUAAAAGGUGCAAUUGCACCACUACCAGAUGGACCUGCGUUGUAUUAGCUAGUUGGUGGGGUAACGGCUCACCAAGGCGACGAUACAUAGCCGACCUGAGAGGGGGAUCGGCCACACUGGGACGGAGACACGGCCCAGACUCCUACGGGAGGCAGCAGUAGGGAAUCUUCGGCAAUGGACGGAAGUCUGACCGAGCAACGCCGCGGGAGUGAAGAAGGGUUUCGGAUCGUAAAGCUCUGUUGUAAGAGAAGAACGAGUGUGAGAGUGGAAAGUUCACACUGUGACGGUAUCUUACCAGAAAGGGACGGCUAACUACGUG